RNAcentral lists this ribosomal RNA (1165 nucleotides) under bacterium. RNAcentral describes it as "bacterial SSU rRNA". It matches the Rfam family "Bacterial small subunit ribosomal RNA", at positions 57 to 1203 of the family's 1533-position model. The record is from RNAcentral.
GCAAGUCGAGCGGACCGACGGGAGCUUGCUCCCUUAGGUCAGCGGCGGACGGGUGAGUAACACGUGGGUAACCUGCCUGUAAGACUGGGAUAACUCCGGGAAACCGGGGCUAAUACCGGAUGCUUGAUUGAACCGCAUGGUUCAAUCAUAAAAGGUGGCUUUUAGCUACCACUUACAGAUGGACCCGCGGCGCAUUAGCUAGUUGGUGAGGUAACGGCUCACCAAGGCGACGAUGCGUAGCCGACCUGAGAGGGUGAUCGGCCACACUGGGACUGAGACACGGCCCAGACUCCUACGGGAGGCAGCAGUAGGGAAUCUUCCGCAAUGGACGAAAGUCUGACGGAGCAACGCCGCGUGAGUGAUGAAGGUUUUCGGAUCGUAAAACUCUGUUGUUAGGGAAGAACAAGUACCGUUCGAAUAGGGCGGCACCUUGACGGUACCUAACCAGAAAGCCACGGCUAACUACGUGCCAGCAGCCGCGGUAAUACGUAGGUGGCAAGCGUUGUCCGGAAUUAUUGGGCGUAAAGCGCGCGCAGGCGGUUUCUUAAGUCUGAUGUGAAAGCCCCCGGCUCAACCGGGGAGGGUCAUUGGAAACUGGGGAACUUGAGUGCAGAAGAGGAGAGUGGAAUUCCACGUGUAGCGGUGAAAUGCGUAGAGAUGUGGAGGAACACCAGUGGCGAAGGCGACUCUCUGGUCUGUAACUGACGCUGAGGCGCGAAAGCGUGGGGAGCGAACAGGAUUAGAUACCCUGGUAGUCCACGCCGUAAACGAUGAGUGCUAAGUGUUAGAGGGUUUCCGCCCUUUAGUGCUGCAGCAAACGCAUUAAGCACUCCGCCUGGGGAGUACGGUCGCAAGACUGAAACUCAAAGGAAUUGACGGGGGCCCGCACAAGCGGUGGAGCAUGUGGUUUAAUUCGAAGCAACGCGAAGAACCUUACCAGGUCUUGACAUCCUCUGACAACCCUAGAGAUAGGGCUUCCCCUUCGGGGGCAGAGUGACAGGUGGUGCAUGGUUGUCGUCAGCUCGUGUCGUGAGAUGUUGGGUUAAGUCCCGCAACGAGCGCAACCCUUGAUCUUAGUUGCCAGCAUUCAGUUGGGCACUCUAAGGUGACUGCCGGUGACAAACCCGAAGAAAGGGGGGGAUGACGUCAAAUCAUCAUGGCCCCU